AUUUAUAUAGUUUACAUAAAACAUUACAUUUUCAUUGUAAAAUUAAAUAAUUUUAUUUUAUAAAUU
This 66-nucleotide transfer RNA is filed under the name Stomoxys calcitrans (stable fly). RNAcentral's name for it is "tRNA-Glu". The record is from RNAcentral. Lineage: Eukaryota; Metazoa; Arthropoda; Insecta; Diptera; Muscidae.